GGACAGAAAAAUAAAGAUGUUAAUUUAUGCGGUUGCGGCACAAUGGUUUAUCAACAUGAUAACAUUGGUUGUUCAAUCCAGAAAAAGAAAAAGAAGAGAAGCAAUUACGUAUGCCCCAAUUGAUGAGAGAGAUAGGAUGAGAAGAGGGUAUUUUGACAACAAAAUAUGGAAGAAUGACACAACUUGUGUGAACAUGCUUAGGCUUCGGAGAGAACCUUUCUUUAGGUUUUGUCAACUGUUUAGGGAUCGCAACUUGCUAAAUGACACAAUACACUUGACUGUUGAGCAACAACUAGCAAUGUUCCUGCACACCGUUGGGCACAACAUUAGAAAUAGGGUAAUUGGCGCCAAUUUUGGUAGAUCUGGUGAAGUCGUGAGCCAUUACUUCAAAAGGGUACUCCAUGCCAUUGGUGAGCUUCGAGAUGACCUUAUUAGGAAGCCUUCAUUGGAGACCCAAACCAAAAUAGAAGGAAACUAUCGGUGGGAUCCAUACUUUAAGGAUUGUAUUGGAGCUAUCGAUGGCACACAUGUGCGAGCCUCUGUUACACCAGAUAUGGAGGCUGCCUUUCGUGGUAGAAAGACUUAGGCAUGAUGCUUUAGAACGUGAGAAUGGUCUACGUGUCCCACAAGGAAAAUUUUAUCUAGUUGAUGCUGGAUAUGGAGCCAAACUGGGUUUUUUGCCUCCUUUUCGUGGCGUGAGGUAUCACUUGAAUGAGUGGGGAAACAACCCCGUGCAAAACGAGAAGGAGUUGUUCAACCUUAGGCAUUCUUCUCUUCGUGUGACCAUUGAACGUGCAUUUGGCUCAUUGAAGAGAAGAUUCAAGAUACUUGAUGAUGCCACCCCAUUCUUUCUAUUUCCAACACAAGUUGACAUUGUUGUGGCUUGUUGCAUUAUUCACAAUUGGGUAAUAAAUGAUGGGAUAGAUGAAUAUAUCAUACCCGAGGAAGAAUGGGUGCCAAAUAUUACUCAUGCUUCAUCAUCAAGUGGUCAAGCACAUGAACAUGCAUACAUGGCUAGUUUUAGGCAAGGACUUGCUGAUCAAAUGUGGGAAGACCGACAAAACCAUUUGCAAGGUCAAAAUAUGUAGUAACUACUAUGUCAUUUAGGUCGUUGUGUUGAACUAUUCUGUGUGCUGGAACUUAUUUGUAAGGACAUAUUAUUUGCUGAAAUUACUAUUUGUAAUACUAUUUAAGUUGCUGAAAUUACUUUCUCAAUGUCCAAACCCUUGCUGGAAAUUGUAGGAAAUGGCUAAGCAAGUUUCAUGGUCACCUAC
Molecule: long non-coding RNA, 1274 nt
Organism: Triticum dicoccoides
Lineage: Eukaryota; Viridiplantae; Streptophyta; Magnoliopsida; Poales; Poaceae
Exons: 3
Source: RefSeq, a predicted model, not a curated record